Long non-coding RNA from Carassius carassius (crucian carp), 485 nucleotides. RefSeq lists it as uncharacterized. NCBI's taxonomy places the organism in Eukaryota, Metazoa, Chordata, Actinopteri, Cypriniformes, Cyprinidae. The transcript is spliced from 2 exons. The record is from RefSeq and is a predicted model, not a curated record.
AUAGACCUAUUUUAAGAUGUCUUCUAAACAUCUAUUUGACAUCUGAUAGGAAACGAUCUAUAGAUGUAUUGCAGAUGAGCAAACUCUUUAAAGAUUACGUCUUGCAGAUGCAAAUGCAGACGUCAUAUAGACAUCUCUGUGAUGAACGAUCGCUAUCAGGCAGGCAAUCGGAGGCCUUCAGAUGAGUCAUCGCUGAAAGUUUUGUUUAUUCUGCUCUCGCAAAUCCUCUCAUCGUAAACAACAAAGUGCAGAUGUACGUACGAUGUAAGUAAGAGAUUAUUUGUACAGUAUUUAGACAGCUUCAUUGAUUAUAACGGGAGUUUUUUGAGAGUGCUUAAACUUCUAAUGAAAGGUUAGCAAACCAAACAUCAUCUAAACGCACAUAAUUAUUGACGCAAUACAGUUUUAAAUACUAUAAUGUAGAUUUAAAAGCAUAUACAUGCCAUUAAACUAAAUGUGCAUGUAAUUUACAUUUACAUUUUUUU